Molecule: ribosomal RNA, 468 nt
Filed under: uncultured bacterium
Lineage: Bacteria
Description: partial 16S ribosomal RNA
Rfam family: Bacterial small subunit ribosomal RNA
Source: RNAcentral
GACGAACGCUGGCGGCGUGCUUAACACAUGCAAGUCGAACGGAAAGGCCCUGCUUUUGUGGGGUGCUCGAGUGGCGAACGGGUGAGUAACACGUGAGUAACCUGCCCUAGACUUUGGGAUAACUUCAGGAAACUGGGGCUAAUACCGGAUAGGAGCUCCUGCUGCAUGGUGUGGGUUGGAAAGUUUCGGCGGUUGGGGAUGGACUCGCGGCUUAUCAGCUUGUUGGUGGGGUAGUGGCUUACCAAGGCUUUGACGGGUAGCCGGCCUGAGAGGGUGACCGGCCACAUUGGGACUGAGAUACGGCCCAGAAUCCUACGGGAGGCAGCAGUGGGGAAUAUUGCACAAUGGGCGGAAGCCUGAUGCAGCAACGCCGCGUGCGGGAUGACGGCCUUCGGGUUGUAAACCGCUUUCGCCUGUGACGAAGCGUGAGUGACGGUAAUGGGUAAAGAAGCACCGGCUAACUACGUG